RNAcentral lists this long non-coding RNA (3017 nucleotides) under Bemisia tabaci. RNAcentral describes it as "lncRNA ENSSSA2NGG013360". The record is from RNAcentral. Lineage: Eukaryota; Metazoa; Arthropoda; Insecta; Hemiptera; Aleyrodidae.
CUCUUCAAUUUCAAUCUUUAAAGUUUGAGAGAGUUGGUUUGGUCAUUAAAUUAAUCCUUUUUGUGUGUUUUACUUCAAUUGAUGUUUUGAUCACCAGGUCUCGGAAACACUUUAGAGGUGCUGAAACUCAACAACAAUAAGCUUGUUAACUUAAAUGCCUCGACGAUUACGGGUCUCAUCAACUUAAACAGUCUGGACCUGAACAAUAAUUUUUGGAAUUGCACAUGCCACAUAAAGCCACUGCGAGUAUGGUUAGCCAAGCAGAACAUCCCCUUGAGCAUCCCACCGACGUGUCACUUUCCACAGCGCCUGCUUCAUCGGCCGUGGGACAAACUGGAGCUGGAGGACUUCGCCUGUAAACCACGCGUCCGACCACUGCACGCUACUUACAUUGCUAACGAGAUGGCCAAUGUAACUCUAGAAUGCGAAAUUUGGGCGGACCCUGUUCCAAAUAUAACAUGGACUCGGCGUGGAAAGGUCGUCGCGAACAGCACCUCAAAUAGCGUCAGCGUGGUCAACCGGCGUCUCUUCGACUUGCACAGGGCCUACAACAUCAGCUACCUGACCGUCUUCUCAGUGGACGCCUCUGACGCGGGCGAGUACGCCUGCGUUGCAGAGAACCGCGGCGGGCGGACCCAAGCAUUGCUCAACUUAUCUGUGAUAAAAGCCGCUCCGACUUCAGACAAACAUAGCCUGAUUCAGAGCCGGCUUCUCAUCCACGGCCUUUUCGUCGUACUCCUCCUGAUAGUGGUUCUCCUUUUCGUGUUCAUUUAUGUGCUAGUUUUCAAGAACCGAGUCCGGCUAAAAACCACCCGGUCGGCCGAGCGGGAGAAUUAUGACAAAAUAGAGCUGAACCAUUGCAACGCGUCGAAGCAGGAACUGGCAACGGUAGAGGAGACAACGCGACAUCCCAAGCUGAGGCAAUACGUGAGCUUGCCCGAACCUCCGGAUCCACGCUCGCCUACGGGUAAGACUCCGCCCAUGUCUUUCAGGGGGAUUUCGUCUCCUGAUGAGCGAUUGCAGAGGCUUGGUCAAAAUGUAACACGGCAGACUGGAAUCGACCCGGAUAGAGAGCCUGAAACUAGAGAUGCGGCUAUUCGGUCAUACUAUGAGGAAAACUUCGGAGAGGUAACGCUGAAGCAUCAUGUGCUCCGAAAGGAGUUUCUGCCGUCAGGAAGACUGUACACCACCUCGAAACAAAGCUCCAAAACCUUCCCGGACUUAUUGGAAUCGUCACCUCCAAGUAAUGCGGGUCAACGACAUAUGUUUAGUACCUUACCUAGGAUGCAAUCACAUAGUUCCCAGAGUUCUCACAGUCGAUCACCCCUUCUGCCGAGUAGCAGCCAAGCAAGUAGUAUGGAGAAUAGCAGUUUAUCCAGUAGAAAUCAUUUAAUGGACCUCGAAAUGGCCAAUUACAAUAAAAGGAAUUUGGCGGUGAGGUCGGAGAUGAACUCCUCGACUUCUUUGAACUUGGCCCCGGAGCUGAGCGUUUACGGGCGGCGCGACAACCCGAGUCUGCCGAGUUCCCCGAUCCGGCACCGGGAGAGGGAUCAGCCGCGGCUCGACCCCCUCAACAAGCGCCACUCCUCCCUCUGCGAGACGCCUAUCCUCAAUAUUCUCGAGCCGACGCGCACCGCUUCCCGCUUCUCCAUGAUCGCCUCCACCACCUACGACUACCACGCCGCCCAACUCGAGCGCUUCCUCGAGGAGUACCGAACUCUUCAGGUGGAGCUGACCAAAAUGAAGGAGUCCUGCGACAGUUUCGUGCGCAACAUUGACCGGGAGGAACGUCAAACCGUCAUUUCAAGUGAAGAGUGUGACACCUUCAAUAUGAAGCCUGUUACAACAUAUCCUACGGACCAUGAUCCUGGACCGAAGUCAAUACUGAAAAACAAGACUGCGUCCAAUUUUGUUGCGCGUGAGCCACCAUUUGAAAAAAACCCUCUUCAUCAAGAAAACCCAUGCACUGAACAAGAGAUGAUUUGGGACAAUGAGACGAGACAGUAUGUUCAUUCGAUGCGACGAACUGAUAUUAACAGGAUUUAUUACAAUAGCUGAGAGUUGUAGAACUGUCAAAUGAGACAAAAACUUUAGACAAGUACCGAGGGCUGAAAUAAAAAAACUGUCCUCCAUUCCGCAUGGACUUCAAUUUUACGAUGACUGUUGUUUUAAUAUAGCAUAAUGAAAUUUAAGGACCAAUCUUACAGGCAUGAAAUUUUUGAGGAUACGCAUCAGAUCAUUAAAAGAAUUUCAAAACCAUGUACCGACUCACUUGUACGUAAAUUAUUUUUGGCAAACGCGUUCUACAGUGCUGCCUUCCCCUUUCGCAUCCUUGUUUUGUGAGUCGUGCCUUUAACUACCAGAAAAACCUAUUACAUCAAUUUUGAUUUCCUACUUGUGUACCAUCUGUUGCAGCUUACUAAACCAUGGUGCGGAAAAUUAAGGGUCAAUGUCCAUCAGUUGGUCCUUGAACAGUAGUUAUCCUUUGUCACGGGCUGGGUCCUCUUGUACAGGAUAUUAUGAAAUGUCCAGAAUUUAGCUGGCACAUCAUAUAAGGCUUUUCUUUUGUAUUUUAGAUUCCGGGUUGUUAUUAUGAUUUUAAUUUUCUCUAGUGGGAGAAACAAUUUAUUUCUCUAUUUUUUUAGGUGCUCUUAUUACCCAACAGGUACGGUAACCUUUGUAAAAUCCUUCAUUUAAAUUUCUUAUCCUCUAACAUAGAAUAAAAAUUGGAGGUGUGAAAAUUGGAUUAACCUGGGAGUUAAGGUGCUCUUUUUGUGAACUAUACUUAGAAAAUAAUAUGGUGUUCUUUUUGAAUGAUAUUUUAUACUCCGUUAUAUCAUUUUAUGAUGCUUUGGCCUUCAUGACGUAUUUUUCAUAAUAAUUAGAUUAUUUGUCUUUGUUGCUACUUAAAGCCAAAUUGUACAGUUGUUAGAUAAUUUAUUGACUAUUUUUAUUCAUAAUAAGCAAACGUUUAAAUGUUAAUAAACCUUGUGAUCAAUAAAAAAUAUUAUUUCACG